This 460-nucleotide ribosomal RNA is filed under the name uncultured bacterium. RNAcentral describes it as "partial 16S ribosomal RNA". It matches the Rfam family "Bacterial small subunit ribosomal RNA", at positions 338 to 795 of the family's 1533-position model. The record is from RNAcentral.
CCUACGGGCGGCAGCAGUGAGGAAUAUUGGUCAAUGGACGAGAGUCUGAACCAGCCAAGUAGCGUGAAGGAUGACUGCCCUAUGGGUUGUAAACUUCUUUUAUAUGGGAAUAAAAUGUUCCACGUGUGGGAUUUUGUAUGUACCAUAUGAAUAAGGAUCGGCUAACUCCGUGCCAGCAGCCGCGGUAAUACGGAGGAUCCGAGCGUUAUCCGGAUUUAUUGGGUUUAAAGGGAGCGUAGGUGGGUUGUUAAGUCAGUUGUGAAAGUUUGCGGCUCAACCGUAAAAUUGCAGUUGAAACUGGCAGUCUGGAGUACAGUAGAGGUGGGCGGAAUUCGUGGUGUAGCGGUGAAAUGCUUAGAUAUCACGAAGAACUCCGAUUGCGAAGGCAGCUCACUGGACUGCAACUGACACUGAGGCUCGAAAGUGUGGGUAUCAAACAGGAUUAGAUACCCGAGUAGUC